GUAGAUGAUGACGUCGUCUUUCAACAUGGCGGCCGCCUGGUUUAACAACUUGUGUGAAAUGAAGCCUAGUUAAAAAAGCCACGUUUUUGGAGACGAGGGCAAAACGGAGCGGCGAGGGCCGUACCGAUGGUGAAGACGAUGAAGACGAUGACGGCCACACCCAGCAGCAUGGCGAGGAGGCUGAGCAGCAAAGAUACGCGGCCGUACCUCCGCGCUGCUUCCACGUCACCGUUGUUCAGCACUGAGCGAGACUGGCGGUGGGGCGGCCGCAGGUCAGAGGUCAGUGACAGGCAAAAAUGCACGUGCUCAACUGGUCAACUCAACUUCAUUGAUGAAUAUUUCAAUUCUUUCUAGAAAUAAAUGAUACUGUUUCUGCUAACAGACCAGAAACAAAAGUUUUUGUGUGCUAACGUGA
This is a long non-coding RNA of Syngnathus acus (greater pipefish), 415 nucleotides long. RefSeq lists it as uncharacterized. The transcript is spliced from 2 exons. NCBI's taxonomy places the organism in Eukaryota, Metazoa, Chordata, Actinopteri, Syngnathiformes, Syngnathidae. The record is from RefSeq and is a predicted model, not a curated record.